This 351-nucleotide ribosomal RNA is filed under the name uncultured bacterium. RNAcentral describes it as "bacterial SSU rRNA". It matches the Rfam family "Bacterial small subunit ribosomal RNA", at positions 29 to 400 of the family's 1533-position model. The record is from RNAcentral.
AACGAACGCUGGCGGCAUGCCUAACACAUGCAAGUCGAACGGGAUCCUAGCUUGCUAGGUGAGAGUGGCGGACGGGUGAGUAACACGUGGGAAUCUGCCUUUUUGGUUCGGGAUAACCGCGGGAAACUGCGGCUAAUACCGAAUGCCCUCGAGAGAGGAAGAUUUAUCGCCAGAAGAGGAGCCCGCGUCCGAUUAGGUAGUUGGUGGGGUAAAGGCCUACCAAGCCGACGAUCGGUAGCUGGUCUGAGAGGAUGAUCAGCCACACUGGGACUGAGAUACGGCCCAGACUCCUACGGGAGGCAGCAGUGGGGAAUAUUGGACAUGGGGGCAACCCUGAUCCAGCAAUGCCGC